Molecule: non-coding RNA, 295 nt
Organism: Pelobates cultripes (western spadefoot toad)
Lineage: Eukaryota; Metazoa; Chordata; Amphibia; Anura; Pelobatidae
Source: the annotation of a GenBank genome assembly
AUAUAUUCGAAGCUUGGACUUGUCACCAGUGGGGUACCUCAGGGAUCUGUACUUGGACCCAUUCUCUUUAAUAUUUUUAUUAGUGAUAUUGCAGAAGGUCCUGAUGGUAAGGUAUGUCUUUUUGCUGAUGAUACUAAGAUAUGUAACAGGGUUGAUAUUCCAGGAGGGAGAAGCCACAUGGCAAAUGAUUUAGGUAAACUAGAAUUGUGGCAACUGACAUUUAAUGUGGAUAAGUGCAAGAAAAUGCAUCUUGGACGUAAAAACCCAAGGGCAGAGUACAGAAUAUUUGAUAGAG